UGGCGAUUGAGUGUUCAUAGAUUCUUGAAUAAUGAGUUCCCUUUUCUCUCUUCAUAUAUAUACUUAUCAAAAAAAAAAAAAGAUUCUUGAAUAAUGAGGUAGUUGUUGUAUUCUUGAUGAUAAUGGUUUCUAAUGUCAUUUGUCUUGUGUGUUUUAACAAUGUUUGCUAGCAAUUUUUGAGGUGAUUUUCUUGCUUUUGAAAGUAAAAAUUGCAUUUAUUUUAGCUUUGUAAAACAAAUAUGGAUACUUCCAUAACUAUUACCUAACCAAAUUGUCCAUUACUGUUUUUUAUUAAUUUAAUUGGUAAGAACAAGCUGCAUAACAAAUAUUAUAUCAAGAUCAUUAGGUUUUUAUUGCUAUUCUUAUAAUUCUGCAUGCUUACAGAGAGUGCCCAUGUAUAAGAUAUCAAGGCAACAACUUGAUUUUCAGUAAUUCCAUUGGUACACAUUAAUCAUUAGGAAAUGCACUUUGUGCUGCUCAAUAAAUUUAGCAUGAUGUGUUUCUUGUCUAAGUCUCAAUGGCCUUUUUUCAGUGCUGUUAGUAACGGGGCAGGUGAUGGUGUUGUUGGAGGAGUUUCAGUAGUUGGGGAAGUUUGUGAGAAGUCUUAAUGGUUUCAUAGUCUUGGUGUGGGGUGGAGGGUUUUGUUUGGGGGGAUGAGUACAUGAAGGACUUCAAACCUGUCAGUUUAGUAGGAGUCUCUAGAAACUUUUGACUCAAUGUUUGGAAAAUAGAUUGAAGAAGGUUGUUGGGAAGGUAAUCUUAGAGGCUCAAAAUAUUCUGAGAGAGGGAGAGAGUAGGCUGAUUUUAGAUGUAGUUCCGAUAAAAAAUGAAGCUAUGGACUCCAUCAAAAAGGGAUUUUGCUGACAAUCAUGGAAAAGAUUGUUUUGGUGAAAAAUGGUUGAAGUGGAUGGGAUUUUUCAUUUCCACUAUAUGCCUCUCCAUUCUGGUCAAUGGUACCUCCCCUCAUCUAUUAUUGGUGGUCAUGGAUGUUUCCAGCUGCCUUGUUUUAAGGGCAGCUCAAAGAUGUUUUAUCAGUAGUUUCAGUGUUGGGGGGUAGAGGGUAAAUGACAUCUUUUAUCUUUUGUUGUGGAAAUGUGGAUCAUAUAGUCCAUUCAAGGUGGGUGCUUCUAUGUACCGAAUUGAUUUUUGGUUUGAAAGUUAGUCUGUAGAAGAAUGAGCUUAUCCCGGUGUGCGAGGUCAUCGAUAUUGAGAGGUGGGGCUGUUGCUUUGGGUUGUAGGGUGCGGAGAGUCCCCAUGUCCUAUCUAGGCCUUUCCUUGGGAGCCCCAUUUAAAUCUCAGGCUGCUUGGAAUGUGGUGCAGGAUCGCUUAAACAGGAGAUUGGUCUGUUG
Molecule: long non-coding RNA, 1349 nt
Organism: Vitis riparia (riverbank grape)
Lineage: Eukaryota; Viridiplantae; Streptophyta; Magnoliopsida; Vitales; Vitaceae
Exons: 2
Source: RefSeq, a predicted model, not a curated record